This 327-nucleotide long non-coding RNA is filed under the name Phaseolus vulgaris (common bean). RNAcentral describes it as "long non-coding RNA (PVUL_LNC000739)". The record is from RNAcentral. Lineage: Eukaryota; Viridiplantae; Streptophyta; Magnoliopsida; Fabales; Fabaceae.
UUUCUUUGAGAGUGACCUCUUUUUUCUGCCUCCAUUCACUUUGGCAAUUUCAUUGCCAAGCUCACUGUUUUUGCUAAUUUUGUUUCUUAACUUGUUUGCUGUUUUUGUGUGUUUGCUGUUUUUUAUUUGCAAAAUGGCUGGCUAUUCAAGUGGUGCAUCUUACAAACAGCAUUCUCCUUCCAAAGCUUCAGUCCUUGGUGAAGAAGAACAUAGAAGAAGGAGGCAUCACCAUCAUUCUCAUGAAGAGAGCUAUAACCGUGACCAAAGAUAUCACCAAGUGUUCAACAUUGCUUGUAAAAAAGUCCCUAGUUUUAAUGGUGAUAGUGA